UGGUCCAGAGAUGCCUUACGGUGCAGCUGUCUUUGUCCUCUCCAGCUGUGCUCCCUGCCCACUGACCCCGCGCGCUCCGAGAACGUGGGGGCGGGGAGCCCGCAACCUAUAAAAUAAAUGGGGGCAAGGAGAAAGGAAGACCUUCCCGGGGCGGCGUGUGCCGCUCUCCUCACCCCCUCCCUUCCCUCUUUAGGCUUCCUCCCUCCGGUGUGUCCCUGGGGUCCAGGCAGGGGAGGGUCUAGGCAACGGCGCGGCGGCGGCAGCCGCUUGGGGAGUGCUGUAGGACCGCCUGCCCGAGCGUCCGGUCCGAGGGCGCAGGCAGAAGGAGGAGGCUCGCGGCCGGCUCACUCUCCUCCAUCUCUCUCCGGCUCGCCGGCUUUUGUGUCGGUGCCUCGGAGCGGCAAGGAGGGUGCGCUGGCGGAGGAGGGGGGCCUGGGGAGAGAGGCACCCCCUUCACGCGCGCGCGCACACGUUGCCGGCGCACGCACACACGCGCGGACAUACACUCACAGACACGCACACACUCACACGCACAAAGCUCGCUCGCCUCGAGCGCACUAACGUGGCCGUUUUCUUUGUGUGGAGCCCUCGAGGGGGGUUGGGGCCCGGGUCCGGUCCGGGGGAGAUGGCGCAGCCCAUCCUGGGCCAUGGGAGCCUGCAGCCCGCCUCGGCCGCUGGCCUGGCGUCCUUGGAGCUCGACUCGUCGCUGGACCAGUACGUGCAGAUUCGCAUCUUCAAAAUCAUCGUGAUUGGGGACUCCAACGUGGGCAAGACCUGCCUGACCUUCCGCUUCUGCGGGGGGACCUUCCCGGACAAGACUGAGGCCACCAUUGGCGUGGACUUCAGGGAGAAGACCGUGGAAAUCGAGGGCGAGAAGAUCAAGGUGAUCCAGACGGUCAGGUCCGGGAAGGGAGGGAUCUGGGAGGGGGGCCUCGCCCGAGGCAUCGCUCUAGUGGUUGUAAACGUCCAGCGCGUGGCCGUGUGGCCGCUUGCCGAGCCCAAGACCCUCGGCACCUCCUCAUUCCCUUUCGCUUCUCUCAGUGGCCUGGUUCCCACCUCACCCGUUUUGUUUUGCUUUUUAGGGCUGGCGGGAGUGGUUACAGUCCUGCCCUUUGCCCCUGCCUGA
Non-coding RNA from Leptonychotes weddellii (Weddell seal), 1126 nucleotides. The record is from RefSeq and is a predicted model, not a curated record. NCBI's taxonomy places the organism in Eukaryota, Metazoa, Chordata, Mammalia, Carnivora, Phocidae.